This 575-nucleotide ribosomal RNA is filed under the name Pseudomonas veronii. RNAcentral describes it as "bacterial SSU rRNA". It matches the Rfam family "Bacterial small subunit ribosomal RNA", at positions 84 to 655 of the family's 1533-position model. The record is from RNAcentral. Lineage: Bacteria; Pseudomonadati; Pseudomonadota; Gammaproteobacteria; Pseudomonadales; Pseudomonadaceae.
UUCUCUUGAGAGCGGCGGACGGGUGAGUAAUGCCUAGGAAUCUGCCUGGUAGUGGGGGAUAACGUUCGGAAACGGACGCUAAUACCGCAUACGUCCUACGGGAGAAAGCAGGGGACCUUCGGGCCUUGCGCUAUCAGAUGAGCCUAGGUCGGAUUAGCUAGUUGGUGAGGUAAUGGCUCACCAAGGCGACGAUCCGUAACUGGUCUGAGAGGAUGAUCAGUCACACUGGAACUGAGACACGGUCCAGACUCCUACGGGAGGCAGCAGUGGGGAAUAUUGGACAAUGGGCGAAAGCCUGAUCCAGCCAUGCCGCGUGUGUGAAGAAGGUCUUCGGAUUGUAAAGCACUUUAAGUUGGGAGGAAGGGCAGUUACCUAAUACGUAAUUGUUUUGACGUUACCGACAGAAUAAGCACCGGCUAACUCUGUGCCAGCAGCCGCGGUAAUACAGAGGGUGCAAGCGUUAAUCGGAAUUACUGGGCGUAAAGCGCGCGUAGGUGGUUAGUUAAGUUGGAUGUGAAAUCCCCGGGCUCAACCUGGGAACUGCAUUCAAAACUGACUGACUAGAGUAUGGUAGA